AAGGGAUUAUCUAAAUGAAAAAAAGCUGUCCAAGUAGGUAAUAUGCAUUAAAAUGCAGUGUUGAAGAAAGGUUUUAGUCGAGAUAAUUCAUCUGUUCAGAUGUUGGUAAAUGAACAAGUGAAACAGAAUGGAGAAUCUAAGACUAUCCAAUCUGAUGUGAGUGAUAAAGCAAACACGGUAAUGGAGAAUGCUGUGAUUUCUAAUGUUUCAGAAGAUUCACAUGCAGCAGAUUCAGGAAAGUCUAAGGAUGAGGUUUUGAAUUUGUACAGUCGACCACACACUACUGCUAGGGAUAUACAUGACUCAUAUGUAGAC
Molecule: long non-coding RNA, 315 nt
Filed under: Nicotiana benthamiana
Lineage: Eukaryota; Viridiplantae; Streptophyta; Magnoliopsida; Solanales; Solanaceae
Description: long non-coding RNA (NBEN_LNC018445)
Source: RNAcentral